Molecule: long non-coding RNA, 365 nt
Filed under: Brassica napus (rape)
Lineage: Eukaryota; Viridiplantae; Streptophyta; Magnoliopsida; Brassicales; Brassicaceae
Description: long non-coding RNA (BNAP_LNC008369)
Source: RNAcentral
AUAAGUCCGGUUUAGGUACCGGAUUAGGCUUGGUGUGUAUUUGGUUAUUGUAGGCCUGACGUUGGCAUGUAUGUGUUUGAGUGAUUGCUUGUGAAGGGUGGUCGAUAUUAAAGCUAUGCGGUAUCAUUGGUUGGCCGAUCAUGUUCUUUUUUGAUUGUUGGUCGAUCGAUUAAUGAUACUUGCAUAGUCUAAGUGUCUAACACUACAUGAGUAUUGAACUCAGGUGUAUAUAUGGUUAACUAGGGAUUGUUUGUUGACUUGUUUUAAUGCAGGUUCCCGUUACUUGAAGCUAGAUCAUGGCAGGAGGCCAAGUCUAACUUAGUAACGAUUUGCUUAGCCUUAGCUUUUAUUGCAUGCUAGGGCUA